GAUGAACGCUGGCGGCGUGCCUAAUACAUGCAAGUCGAGCGAACAGAUGAGGAGCUUGUUCCUCUGACGUUAGCGGCGGACGGGUGAGUAACACGUGGAUAACCUACCUAUAAGACUGGGAUAACUUCGGGAAACCGGAGCUAAUACCGCAUAAUAUAUUGAACCGCAUGGUUCAAGAGUGAAAGACGCUUUUGCUGUCACUAAUAGAUGGAUCCGGGUGGCAUAAGCUAGUUGGUAAGGUAACGCCAUACCAAGGCAACGAUGCGUAUCCGACCUGAGAGGAUGAUGGGCCAACAGGAAAUGGAGACAGGGCCAAGACCCCUAGGGGGGGCCGGAGUGGGAACUUUUGCGAAAGGGGCGAAUCCCUAACGGAGCAGCGCCGCGUGAGUGAUAAAGGUUUUGGGAUCGAAAAACUCUGUUAUGAGAAAAAAACAAAUGAGUAAGUAACUAUGCACGUCUGACGGGUACCUAAUAAGAAAGCCACGGUAAACUCGUU
Molecule: ribosomal RNA, 496 nt
Filed under: uncultured bacterium
Lineage: Bacteria
Description: partial 16S ribosomal RNA
Rfam family: Bacterial small subunit ribosomal RNA
Source: RNAcentral